UGGGGUAUAGCUCAAUGGCAGAGAGCAUGCUUAGCAUGCACGAGGUCCUGGGUUCAAUCCUCAGUACUUCCA
RNAcentral lists this transfer RNA (72 nucleotides) under Camelus bactrianus (Bactrian camel). It matches the Rfam family "tRNA". Rfam says of the family: Transfer RNA (tRNA) molecules are approximately 80 nucleotides in length. Their secondary structure includes four short double-helical elements and three loops (D, anti-codon, and T loops). RNAcentral also lists the same sequence under 2 other names. Lineage: Eukaryota; Metazoa; Chordata; Mammalia; Artiodactyla; Camelidae. The record is from Rfam by way of RNAcentral.